Molecule: ribosomal RNA, 449 nt
Filed under: uncultured bacterium
Lineage: Bacteria
Description: partial 16S ribosomal RNA
Rfam family: Bacterial small subunit ribosomal RNA
Source: RNAcentral
AAUGAACGCUGGCGGCAGGCCUAACACAUGCAAGUCGAACGGAUCCUUCGGGAUUAGUGGCGGACGGGUGAGUAACGCGUGGGAACACACCCUUUGGUACGGAAUAGCCUCGGGAAACUGGGAGUAAUACCGUAUGUGCUCGAAAGAGGAAAGAUUUAUCGCCUUUGGAUUGGCCCGCGUUGGUUUAGGUAGUUGGUGGGGUAAUGGCCUACCAAGCCGACGAUCCAUAGCUGGUUUGAGAGGAUGAUCAGCCACACUGGGACUGAGACACGGCCCAGACUCCUACGGGAGGCAGCAGUGGGGAAUCUUAGACAAUGGGGGAAACCCUGAUCUAGCCAUGCCGCGUGAUCGAUGAAGGCCUUAGGGUUGUAAAGAUCUUUCAGGUGGGAAGAUAAUGACUGUACCACCAGAAGAAGUCCCGGCUAACUCCGUGCCAGCCGCCGCGGUAA